Molecule: non-coding RNA, 952 nt
Filed under: Rhynchocyon petersi petersi
Lineage: Eukaryota; Metazoa; Chordata; Mammalia; Macroscelidea; Macroscelididae
Description: 12S ribosomal RNA
Rfam family: Bacterial small subunit ribosomal RNA
Source: RNAcentral
CAAAGGUUUGGUCCUAGCCUUGCUAUUAGUUAUUAGCAAAAUUAUACAUGCAAGUAUCUGCCCCCCGGUGAAAAUGCCCUUUAAACCACUUUUUGGUAUCAAGGAGCUGGUAUCAAGCACACUACACAGUAGCUCAUAACACCUUGCACAGCCACACCCCUACGGGAAACAGCAGUAACAAAAAUUAAGCAAUAAACGAAAGUUCGACUAAGUUAUGCUAAUUAGGGCUGGUCAACUUCGUGCCAGCCACCGCGGUCAUACGAACAGCCCAAAUUAAUAGAACCCGGCGUAAAGAGUGGUUAUGACAUUCAUAUACUAAAGUUAAAUUUAACCUUAGCUGUAAAAAGCUAAAGGUCUAAAAUUAAAUACUCUACGAAAGUGACUUUAACAAAUCAGAAUCCACGAUAGCUAAGAUACAAACUGGGAUUAGAUACCCCACUAUGCCUAGCCUUAAACCUAGUUAAUUAGUAACAAAAUUACUCGCCAGAGAACUACGAGCAAAAGCUUAAAACUCAAAGGACUUGGCGGUGCUUUAUAUCCACCUAGAGGAGCCUGUUGUAUAAUCGAUAAACCCCGCUAAACCCUACCAUCAUUUGCUAAUCCAGUCUAUAUACCGCCAUCUUCAGCAAACCCUUAUAAAGGAAUCAAAGUAAGCUUAAUUAUACUUAAUAAAAACGUUAGGUCAAGGUGUAACUUAUAUGAUGGAAACUAAUGGGCUACAUUCUCUUUAAAAGAGUACUACGAACACCCUUAUGAAAAGUAAAGGUUAAAGGAGGAUUUAGUAGUAAGCCAAGAAUAGAGAGCUUGACUGAAUUAGGCCAUGAAGCACGCACACACCGCCCGUCACCCUCCUCAAAUGUUAUCUGAACAUAAACAUAUUAAAAUUGAAAUAAACACAAGAGGAGACAAGUCGUAACAAGGUAAGCAUACUGGAAAGUGUGCUUGGAUUAUU